This is a long non-coding RNA of Orbicella faveolata, 802 nucleotides long. Lineage: Eukaryota; Metazoa; Cnidaria; Anthozoa; Scleractinia; Merulinidae. The record is from RefSeq and is a predicted model, not a curated record.
GCCAGUCCCCUAGAUCCACCACUGAUAUGAAUUUAUUUUGCAAUGACCAAGUUCUUGGUAACUAACUCACCAUUUGGUACCAAACCUGCCUCAACUAGUUGGUCAAGAGGAAGAGACCAGAUCAAAACAAUCCAAGAAUACUGUUAGUUUGUAACUUAUCAAUAAUUACUUUAUUUCUUACUGAUAAUUUAUAGAGACAGCAGCGUGUUCAGCAUGAAAGACUAAAGGGUGAAUUUAGAGAGUCUAUUUCACGGUACUACUCUGUACAAAAUAAAGUGGUUGAAAAGGAAAAGUUAUUAGUCGGUUCAACAAGUACAAGAACUUCACAGAGGCAAGACAGAUUCGGAGAUGACGGAUUUGGAAAUGAAAAAAGUAGCUUAAUGGAGGACGACCAAAGGAGGUUUGUACAUUACUUCUUGCACGUCAGCCUCUUACUGAUAGUGUUUUAUUCAACCGGUCAAGAAUAGGAAGAGGUGAAGAUCGUGGGAACAUGACUGGAACUCGUAUUGCUACCUAAAUAUCCACAAUACCGUUAACAGUUCAACUGUUUAUAGCUGAAAAUUAUACUGCUAAUUGCUAACUUGAACUACGGAAAAACUAAUUCACGGGCGUGAUGUGAGGAUUUAUUAUUACGGUCAAGCAGUGUUUCAGUGUUUUAGCGUUUGCUUAGAAUCUUAGGGUUAGCUUAGGGUUUAAGGCAGAGAAUAAGGUUAGGUUAGGGUUAGUUUUCGGAUUUAGAGUAAGCAAUCAAAUAUUGCAAGGAUCCCCCCUUCAGGCCCAUUUGUUAGCGUCACCUGCAUAG